AUCUAAAACAGUUGCUACAAGAUUAUGAAAAGGCCUCAGGUCAGUCUAUAAAUCCAAACAAAUCUGCCAUCAUUUUCAGCAAAAAUGUGGGUGAAGUGGAUAGAAGAAGAUUGAGUGAGAUUCUAGGGGUACAGGGAAGUAGUUCUGGCAAUUACCUUGGACUCCCAAUGAUCAUUGGAAAAAACAAGAAGGAGAUCCUAAGCUUUAUAAAAAAGAAAAAUUGCCAACUAUAUCCAAGGAUGGAAUCACAGGUUCAUAUCUAGAGCAGAGCAUGAGAUAUUAUUGAAGACUGUCCCCCAAGCACUUCCCACAUAUGCCAUGGGAGUUUUCUUACUACCAAAGAUCAGAGACUUGCCAAGGAAAUUGAAGUUAUCAUGAACUCUUAUUGGUGGAAGGGUGGAGGGCAGAUUAACGGGGGCUUCAAUUAGAAAUCUUGGAACCAUUUGUGUAACCCAAAGAAAUAGGGAGAUUUAUAAGGUAAGAUACUAUCUGAAUGCCUCUUUUCUGGAAGCAAAAGCUUGAGCUAACCCCUCUUAUAUCUGGAGUAGCUUGCUUGCGACCCAGGACAUAAUCCCUAAUCAUUCAAGGUAGAGAAUUGGGAAUGGUAAUCAAGUUAGAAUUUGGUCCGAUAAUGGGCUUCCAGAUUUAUCUAAUUCCAAAGUGACUUCUUACCCAUUUUCGUUAAUGGAAAACACAACAGUGGCUGAUCUUAUUGAUCCAACAAACUGCAACUGGGAUGAAGAGACCAUCAAAUCCAUUUUUAAUGAGAGAGAUACAAAUAGCAGCAUCAACGAAGUGACCUUGAUUACUGAAGCUGAAUGUUGAUGCUGCUAUCGACAAGCAUAGUGCCGAAAUGGGCUUUGGCUGUGUUCUUAAGAAUGAUCAAGGUUACUUCGUUGUUGCAAGAGGAACACAAUGGAGUGGUGUCCGAGAGGUCGAAGUUGUCGCCAUAAGAGAAUCCCUAAACUGGUUGAAAAGCCUUGACUUCGACAAUAUUAUCAUGGAAACAGAUUCAUUACAGGUGGUUCAAGAACUUAGUUCUACGUCGGGUGAUUCUUCCUUUCAUUUGUUGUUAGUUGAAAUUAAAAACUUGAUGAGUAUUUUACUUUAAGUUAGUUUAUCUUUUACUAAGCGAUCUGUGAACUAGACGGCUCAUCUACUUGCAAGGCAAUCUAUUUCUUUGUCUAAUUGCUCGGAGUGAUUCGUUAACGCUCCCAUCUUCCUUUGUAAUACUCUUUCCUCGGAUUUGAUUUAAUGCAAUUGUCUUUUCUC
Long non-coding RNA from Ipomoea nil (Japanese morning glory), 1272 nucleotides. RefSeq lists it as uncharacterized. The record is from RefSeq and is a predicted model, not a curated record. The transcript has 3 exons. NCBI's taxonomy places the organism in Eukaryota, Viridiplantae, Streptophyta, Magnoliopsida, Solanales, Convolvulaceae.